GGGGAAUAUUGCACAAUGGGGGAAACCCUGAUGCAGCGACGCCGCGUGAGUGAAGAAGUAUUUCGGUAUGUAAAGCUCUAUCAGCAGGGAAGAAGAAUGACGGUACCUGACUAAGAAGCCCCGGCUAACUACGUGCCAGCAGCCGCGGUAAUACGUAGGGGGCAAGCGUUAUCCGGAUUUACUGGGUGUAAAGGGAGCGUAGGUGGUGUGGUAAGUCAGAUGUGAAAGCCCGGGGCUCAACCCCGGGACUGCAUUUGAAACUAUCGAACUAGAGUGCAGGAGAGGUAAGUGGAAUUCCUAGUGUAGCGGUGAAAUGCGUAGAUAUUAGGAGGAACACCAGUGGCGAAGGCGGCUUACUGGACUGCAACUGACACUGAGGCUCGAAAGCGUGGGGAGCAAAC
This 401-nucleotide ribosomal RNA is filed under the name uncultured bacterium. RNAcentral describes it as "bacterial SSU rRNA". It matches the Rfam family "Bacterial small subunit ribosomal RNA", at positions 356 to 773 of the family's 1533-position model. The record is from RNAcentral.